AAAGAACUUUGCUUAGUAUCAAAUUAAAAUUGAACGGUAUGAAAACAAUUGUAUAAGUUAAAAAGCAGUGGGUAAAAUUGAGCCUCACAAUUUACGUGCUAAGUUCACAUGGCACUGGCAUCCAGAACAAGUAAGAAAAAUUAAACUUCAAGAAGGGUUUUAUUUCUUAAUAACGAAAGUGAAAUGAGCUUCACAAAUUAGAGUAGAAGAAAGCAAUGACCAGAAAUUUUAAUGUGCCUUUUAUUGAAAAAACACGAGAUUUUGAGACUUUACAUUUCUGCCGCAAAUCACUAUACAAAUUCGGCAACACCAGGGAAGCUGAAUACUUGUGGAUUGAUGGAUCAGGAAGUCCGAAACUGCAGCUGAUGCUAAUCUUUCUUCAGUUACGAAACCUGUCAGAGGAUUGUGAAUUCCCACCAAUUUCUUAAAUUCCAAUUUUAGAAUCCCAUCAAUCUGUAUUUGACCUGUACAGAGCUGCAGUAGCGAAUUUUAGGGUUCACAGCUGUUCGUGGGGAUAUCUUGCAUUGAUAUCCUAGGCAGACUGGAAUGUCACUUGCCCAGCAACAGUUGCCUGAUACUCUGCACAAGCCUCUGGGGUGUCUUCUUCACUAGGUGGAACCAACUGCCGAAAUAGCGGUAGAUAUGUAUCCCAUUCCUUCAGAAUAGCAGCGCCUUUACGGCUGCCAGUUUUUUCAACAUGUGCUUCAAUAAGGCUCUUCAGUUGCAUCUGGCCAACGGGAGCAGUCACUCGUUGGACCUUCACUAUUUCUUUAUUUACCUUGGGCAUUAGAGUAUCAUCUUCAUCAAGAAUGUAUGCCAGGCCACCAGUCAUCCCAGCUGCUACAUUUCUACCCACUUUUCCAAGAACAACCACACAACCACCAGUCAUAUACUCGCAGCAAUGGUCUCCUGUGCCUUCAACUACUGCUUGAGCAAGCGAGUUUCUGACAGCAAACCGCUCCCCAGCUUUUCCUCUAACAAAUACUUGGCCACCUGUUGCCCCAUAUAAGCAUGUGUUCCCAACUAUAGUUGCAUCCUCGGGGCAAAACCCAGUGUUCUCCACAGGAGUUACAACCAACUCUCCUCCAGCCAUACCCUUUCCCACAUAAUCGUUAGCCUCUCCAACAAGCCGAAUGUUCAUUCCAGGUGUCAAAAAGCAUGCAAAUGACUGCCCUGCACUCCCAGUAAACGUUAUGUUCAGCUGCCCAGCAAAACCAGUGUCCCCAUAUUUCUUUGCAACCACACCUGCUACACGCCCACAAACAGCACGGUCCACAUUGUAUAUCUUUAUAGUUUUAUUGACAACUUUUUCAUUCUCAAUAGCGUCCAAGAUCUCUGGAUCGGCAAGUAGAACAUCAUCCAAAACUGGACCAUUACUAUGAGCACCUUGAUUCCUGAUUUCAGUGCUGCUCCAUUUUGGUAACCCAACACUUGAAAGAAUAUAACUGAGAUCAAGAUGCUGAGUUUUCACUAGGGAAAUGUCACGUGGUCUCAAUAAAUCUGUUUGCCCAAUAACAUCAUCCAACUUCUCGUAACCCAAUUGUGCCAGUGUGCCUCUUACCUCCUCAGCAACGUACAAGAAGUAAUUAACAAGAUCUCCAGGCACACCAGGAAAACGUGCACGCAGUUCUUCUCUCUGACUGGCAACACCAACAGGGCAAUUAUUAGUGUGACAAAUGCGAGCCAUAACACAUCCAGUAGCAAUCAUUGCCACAGAUCCAAAUCCAUACUCAUCAGCACCCAUUGCUGCGGCCAUCAUGACAUCGACUCCACUUCUAAAGCCACCAUCAACCCUAAUAAUUACCCUUUCUCUGAGUCCAUUUUCAAUGAGAGUCUGAUGAGUUUCUGUUAGUCCAAGUUCCCAAGGACCACCAGCAUGCUUAAUAGAGCUUAUAGGGCUAGCUCCUGUUCCACCAUCAUGCCCAGAUAUCUGUAUAAUAUCAGCAUUACCCUUUGCAACCCCAGAAGCAACUGUACCAAUACCAGCUUCCGCCACAAGCUUUACAGACACCUUAGCCUUAGGGUUGACCUGAUGAAGGUCAUAGAUCAAUUGGGCAAGAUCUUCAAUGGAAUAGAUAUCGUGGUGUGGAGGUGGAGAUAUAAGCGGAACCCCUGGUUUAGAAUUUCUCAACCUUGCAAUAUAUGCACUAACUUUCUUCCCAGGCAAUUGGCCACCUUCACCAGGCUUGGCACCUUGUGCAAUUUUGAUUUCCAACUGGUCUGCAUUCACCAAGAAUGUUGGAGUGACACCAAAACGUCCUGAAGCAACCUGCUUAAUGGCACUAGUAGCAGUAUCACCAUUUUGGAGACCUUUGAGAUGUGGCAGUGUAGGAGAAUACCCAUCAACAACAUCUGAAAGUAGACUCCAUCGAAUUGGAUCCUCACCACCUUCUCCUGAAUUAGACUUUCCACCUAAUCUGUUCAUUGCAAUGGCAAUUGCUUCAUGAGUUUCUCUUGAAAUAGCCCCAAGGGACAUUCCACCAGUGCAAAACCGGUGAACAAUGGAUGAGGCAGGUUCAACCUUUCCCACAGGAAUUGGAGCACGAUCACUCUUGAACUCAAGAAGAUCACGAAGAACAUUUACAGGUCGAUUAGCUAAAUGCUGCUGAUAAAUAGAAAAUGCACUUUCAUUCUUUUGCCGGACAGCUUUGUGAAGCAGUUUUGACAUCUCUGGGUUGUUUCCAUGAUACUCUCCUCCAGGUCUAAACUGUAUAAAACCAAAAUUUUCCAGUCUUUUAGUUGUAUCCUCAGAGAAAGCCUUCACCCAGAAUGACAAUGUCUCUCUUGCCAACUCAUCAAAAGUUGCUCCACCAAUCUUUGACACACUCCCACAAAAUGCUAGAUCAACAACCGCCUUUCCUAAUCCAUAAAUCUCAAAUAUCUGGGCACCACAGUAACUUGAAAGCAAUGAGAUGCCCAUCUUGGAAAGGAUUUUUAAAAGACCAGAUUUAACUGCCUUGCAAAAGUUCUUUUGAGCCUGUUCAAUUGUUACAGUAGGCAUCUUUCCAUUCCUCAUUAAAUUCACAGUUUUACUACUUAGACGCCACUGCCGGCAUGUUUCCAAUGCCAAGUAUGGACAAACAGCACUGGCACCGUAUCCAAUCAAACAGCCAAAUUGAUGAGUGCUGAAGCACUGAGCAGUGUCUGCUAUGAUGGAAGUUGACAUUCGCAAGCCAUUUUGAAUAAGAUGCUGAUGAACAGCACCAACAGCAAGAAGAAUUGGAAUUGCAGGUCGAGUGGGCUCCAGCUCAUCAGAACGAUCUGAGAGAACAAGCAGUUGGGAACCAUUUCGAACAGCAUCAUCAGCAGCUUCACAAAGCCUAAUUAGUGUUCUUUCCAAAGUGCCCUCAACCCCUUUACGUAUAUCAAAAAAGGUUGGUAAAACUUGUGGUUUUAAGUAGGGAUCCUUAAGCAAUGACUCUAGCUCCCCCUCAUUCAGUACAGGACUAGAAAAGAUAACCUGCAAAGCAUUUUCAGGUCCAACUUCCAAUAUGUUUCCUCGCUUACCAAUAUUGACUUCAAGGGACAUGACUAAACCUUCCCUUAGAGGAUCAAUAGCUGGAUUUGUGACCUGUGCAAAUCGUUGCUUGAAAUAAUCAUAGAGCAUAUGCGGCCUUUGGGACAAUAUUGCCAAUGGAAUAUCAUCUCCCAUGCAAAAUGUAGGCUCCUUCCCCUGUGCAGCCAUAGUUUCAAUAACCAUUUGGACAUCCUCACUGGAGUAGCCAAAAGCCUGCUGGCGUCGUAAAAUUGCUUCAUUGUCCAUUAUUGUUGCGGAGAGGAAGUUUUCAGGCUUUAACGAUCGUAGGUUCUCACCGACCCAUUUCCCAUAUGGAUGUGAUAAAGCUACCCGCUUUUUAACUUCAGUAUUCUCAUAAACCUGACCACCAGGCAAAUCCACAGCUAUCAUCAUUCCUGGACCUAGGCGGCCCUUCAUUGUUAUUUUUGAUUCAUCCAUUGGUAGAACACCAACCUCAGAUGCAACAUAAACAAAAUUGUCUACUGUCCGCCAAUACCUAGCAGGACGAAGUCCAUUACGAUCAAGACAAGCACCAAUUGUUUUUCCAUCACUAAUUUUGCUUAAUGCAUGAAAUCAGCCACACUCGACACUUGAUAUUGAGAUGAUCCCAAAUUUGAAUAUGCUGCAACUUGUGAUCAAAGGACUGCAUGUUGAGUUUAUGGCUCAUCUUUCAGAUAAGAUACUGCAUGCUAAGAGCUCCAGGCAAACAGGGUAUGUGUAAGGCUCUCACUUUCGAUAGUCCGCACAUUCUAUUGUUCCGGUGACCAAUGUCUGUCCGAACAGCCAGAAUGUCUGGAACUGAAUAAAAGCAAAGCAGGCCCAUCCCAUGCUUCCAUCUGGCCCUUGUAAUACUCAUAAAAAUCAACAACCUCAGGAUAUUUUAUCGUCAAAGUCGGAUGAUUCUUAUAUGCCUCAGGGACAAGGAUCAUUAGAGCCUCCUCAGGAGUACGACCACUUCUUAUUAACAACUGAAAAAGAACAUUAAGCAAAACAAAUCAAACUUAUAAAAUUCACAUAAACGCCAUUAAUGAGUUGUAUCACACGCCUACUAAUCCUAAUGUAAUAAAGUAGACGGCAAGCAAGCUGUCUUCCUUUGUCAUGGUUUGCAACCCAUCGCAUAUGUUAUCCUAGUGUAUGAUCUAUUAUGCGUACUCUGAUAGGACUGAAAUAAAUGGUUUUCAUCGAACAACUAUUCAUCUAGUGAGACUACAAGUAGACUUUAAUCAAGUUGUAUUUCUCCAUAGUACAAAAAGCAACCAUGACAUGUUUAACAUAUAGUGCCUAAUUAUGGAACUCAGAAAAAGGCUGGAACUUGGAUCAACUUCAUGGUAGCUUCUUUAUAGCCUGAAUCUUGCCAAAAUAUUUCUGUUCCAGAUUCUAAUAUCUAAUUAAAAAUGUAAAUACAAUAACAAAUAAGUUACAAUGCACUCAUGCUAAUGAAAUGUACACAUAAAAUUCAAUAAAUGUUCUGAAGCAACAACAAAUGAAAAUAACACCAUUAAACAUAGAAGCAGCAGCUCAUACUUCAGCUGUGCUAUCCAGAUUUGCUGAGUCUGAUGCCUUUGGGUCACCAUAAGGACGGAUUUCAUUUUCACGACCAUUCCAAACAGGAGAUUCCAAUGAACUUUCUCGAGAUUGCAUCCAGUUCAAGUUACCCUGUAUGGUAUUAAUCUCUCCAUUAUGACCAAGAAACCGCAUUGGUUGAGCUAGAGGCCAUCUUGGACUCGUAUUUGUGCUAUACCUUCGAUGAUAAAUGGCAAAGGGUGAUUUAUAAAGAUCACUCUGAAGGUCAGAGUAAAACAAUCCAAGAACUUCAGAGCGAAGCAUUCCCUUAUAAAUAAUUGUUUGAUUAGACAAAGAACAGAUGUAAAGCUCAUCACCCCAACUUUCUAAGGUAGCAGCCCUCUCGAUCAGCUUCCGACAGAUGUAGAAUUCUCGUUCAAUAUCAUCAACAUUCUCUUCCUCAACAACUCUAACAAAUACCUGCUGUAUGUUGGGCAUGGUUUCUUUUGCAUAAUAACCAACUACAGACUUAUUUACAGGAACAGGCCUCCAUCCAAGCACUUCAAGGCCUUCUUGUUUAAAAGUAUUUACGACAACUUUUUGGGCUUCUUUCAUGAAGUUAUCAUCCUUGGGGAGGAAAACCAUCCCAACACCCGUGUGCAAUUUAUCAAAAGGUGCAAUUCCUUGCUUGUCAGCCCAGUUGUUAAAUAGAUCCCAUGGAAUUGAAGUCAUCAAUCCUGAUCCAUCGCCGGAGUCAUUGUCUGCUCCACAACCACCACGAUGUUCCAUACAGCCAAGAGCUGUAAGAGCAUCCUUAACUAUCUGAUGUGAUGCUUUAUUUUCCAAAUUAGCAAUAAACCCAACUCCACAAGCUCCUCUUUCUGAUAUUAUGUCAUCCAAGUUAGCAACCUUGGGUUUCAAAUCAGGUUGAGGAACUGAUUCAGUACCACGAGUUGCUCUAACUGAACACGAGUUUCUACUUACAAAUCGAGACAAACUAGUUCGUGCUAUUGACGGAGUAGAAGAGACACCAACACCGAUUCUCCUUCUACCUCUCUUGGAUUUAGAAUAUAACCCCACAAAAUCAGCAAAUAAGAGACUUUUGCCGUUAUUAUUAUUAGUGUAAGCAAGAACUGAACACGGUGCCUUCGUAGACGAACCAUUGGAGGUGGCGGGGGCAGCGGUGGAGGAAGAGUAGAAGAGAAGCUGAGGAAUGGGAGAGAACGACGAAAAUUGCAGCGCCAUGAGCUACGACGACUGCUAAGAGAGUUUUUUCUUUUUUCUUUUUUUUACAUUUUUUAAAUAUGGGACCAUUUGCACAAUUUGGAAUAGGAGUCGAUAUCAAUUAUGGAUGAUGGGCAAAUUCAUAACUCAUAAGCACUGGCAGAAUUGUAAUUUCUGAUAUUGUCCUUAAAAUAUUGGAUAUUUAGGUAGUUUGAGUCAAGUUUGGACUUUCUAGGACACGCUUUCCGUCUAACCUGAGAUUUAGUUAGGAACUUCCCAUUUAAGGGUACCUAUGUUCUACCUUUUUUUUUUGGUAUGCUGUUGGUGAAUUAUGACUAUAUGAUCUGCAGUUAAAGGUAUUCUUCCCCAGUGAGAAUUAGAAACUUCUACAAAUUUGUUAACAAAAUUUGAUGCUAUAUUAUUUUUGGGUAGUACUUACUGCCAUAUGGAUGCCAUCUAUAGUUCUAUACUCAGUCCUCACCCAACUGCAAACAUCCAGUCUGCAUAGAAAUGCUAAUUACCACAAAAAUUCCUAAUCCAUUUGCAUCAAUGUCCUAUCAAAAUAACGUCAAAAUAUCUCAGAUUUGGGAGCUUGAAAAAUUUCCCAGUCUUAUAUAGUCACAGAACAUCUCUUCACCUUUAAAUUUCACCUGAUUCAAAUACUAUUCAAACCACAAAAUCUUUACCUAUUUCUUCUUUGAUUCAAACUUUUCUCCUCAUCUUUCAUGCCUUAGUCCACUGUACAGCAAAUCAUGAUUGUUUGCUUAUUUCAUUGUGGGAUUUAAGAUCAAUUUCUUUUCCCACUAAUGGCCUUCCUAUAGGCUGGCUUUAGUAAAUGGUUUGUUUCUCUUUUAUUUUCGUAGCUUUUUUACUCACUAUAUUAUUGAUAUUGUUCGGGUUAUAAUUGGCGCUAAACAAUGACAAUGAUGUGCCUGUCUUAACCCCACAAUCAUGCUUUUUCUCACACAAAGGUCUGGGAAUUUAUUUUGUUAUGCCAGGUGUGUAUGAUUUAGAAUCUUGUUUGAUGCAUUAGUGUUAAAGGAUGAAUUUUUAGGUGUUGAUGCCAUGACCGUGGGUUUGGGUUUAAUUUUUCCUUGCUAUCAAUUUUCCCAAGUUCUGUGCAUGGAUGGUAGUAUUACCAUCACAUGGAUCAGUCACCUCCAGCAAGCCCCAAAGUUGAUCUAGACAUGGAACUGUUUGUUGUGAUUUCACUUUAAAGAUGAUUUUGGAUUCUUAAAUUAUUGAUUGGUUUGAAAGAAAACGAUAGGUUUGUUGUCUGUUAGUUUCUCAAAUCCUACAUUCUGUGCAGCAAUUGGCCCACAUUUCCACAGAUUUUUAUCAAGGGAGAGUUUAUUGGUGGAUCAGAUAUAAUUAUGAAUAUGCACCAGAGUGGUGAACUGAAAGAAAAGCUCCAAGAUGUUGCAGCCAAUCAAAAGUCUGAAUAGUUCUCUCAUUGAAUAAAGGGUAGAUUUUGCUUGUUGAACCAUGAAGGAAUGCUUAGCUGAAACCACCAGGCGGAAAAAUAGAUGGUUUAGAAUGGUGGGACUAUAGAUUUUAAGGAAAAAAACAACUUAUUUUUCGUUAUGCAAAUGAAUCGUGUAUUAAUUUGUCCUCCAGCCAUCGGUUUUUGUUCCAUGAAAAGUAUUUGUAUAGGCAUUUCCUAUUCGAACAAUGAAAGCCCAAAUAUCCAAUUCUCAUUCAAAUAUACCUGCAGUUUUAUCUAUGAUGAAAUAGAUAUGAUCCCAUUUUCAGUUGAGAUUUAUGUCCAACUUUUCAUGCUUCCCUUGAAGAAACUGCUGCUUUUCUGGAGAAUAAUUUCAUCUACUUUUGGAAAAGGAGUAAAUUGAAAACUUGCCCUUGUACAGCAAGUGGAGAAAAAAGACGCUCAAAACUGCAAUGCCAACUGCACGCCUAAUUUUCUUAUCUAUUUUUGAAAUGGAAAUACAUCCGGUAAAUGAAUGUGUUUUCUUGGGCAGGAAAAAAACAAUAAAGGAAGAGAGCAUACAAUCAAAAUUUUCAUAGACAAACAGCAGCAUAUCGUACAGGAAUGCUUAUAAUUUGAAUGUUUCCAAUUACAAUCACUUUUACUGCAUUUUUGGAUCCAUCAGGAUUGCCAAUAGAAGCAAUAAAAAA
This 8377-nucleotide unclassified non-coding RNA is filed under the name Hevea brasiliensis (rubber tree). Lineage: Eukaryota; Viridiplantae; Streptophyta; Magnoliopsida; Malpighiales; Euphorbiaceae. The record is from RNAcentral.